GUUUUCAUAGUUUAAAUUAAAACAUUACACUGAAAAUGUAGAAAUAAAAUUUGAAAAUA
RNAcentral lists this transfer RNA (59 nucleotides) under Hyalomma marginatum. Its description in RNAcentral is "tRNA-Phe". It matches the Rfam family "tRNA". From Rfam's summary of the family: Transfer RNA (tRNA) molecules are approximately 80 nucleotides in length. Their secondary structure includes four short double-helical elements and three loops (D, anti-codon, and T loops). Lineage: Eukaryota; Metazoa; Arthropoda; Arachnida; Ixodida; Ixodidae. The record is from RNAcentral.